CCUCCAGAAUGAUAUGCACAAUGCUGAUAGGUAUGGAAAAAUUGAGAAUUAGUAUUAGCGGGUUUCGGUGGGAUAGGUUGGAUAAGGUCUGCCUUCUUUAGCCUUUCAAACAGUUGAGUUCUAGUUUCAGCCAAAGCAAUGAAACUUCUGGUGACUUUCUUUUUGUUAUUUGGAUGAGGAAGAUUUUGGUAAGCAGGGGAAGGGACUUGAUGGUAAUUCUGAUUGACUGGGAUUUUUGGUACGCUUGAAAGUUUUGGAUUGGAGCUUGGUAAGUGGUCUGAUAAUUUGGCAAUAGAGUUGGGUAAUUCGGUUGAUUAGUUGAGAAAUUUGGCUUUGGAACUUGGGGGCUAGGUUGGGUAUAGAACACAGGUUGGAGAGUUUAUGGAGCUGAGGGGUACAUAGACGGUGAUGGACUUUGCCCUGAAUUAGAACCGAAAGAUUUCUUUGACUUCAGGUUUGGAAUAAAGGAUACGAACGACACAUCUUCUCUCUUUUUCUUUGGGAAUACUGAAGAUCCAAGUUGUGUAAAGGUCUUGUUGAUUUUUCCCGUCAUGAGUCGUCCAACCGUUUCACCAAUUUUAACCAAGUCAGCAAAAGUAGCACGAAUUGUCGAUAUUAUCUUGUCAUAAAACUCUCCCUAUCAAGCUCGGGUAAACACAACGACUAUUUCUUCUUCUAAUAUAGGAGGUCGUACUUUUGUUGCCUCUUUCCGCCAACGAUAGGCAUAUUCACAAGAGAAUUCAUUAGACUUUCACUUAAUGCGAUUCAAAGAAUAUAGAUUAGGAACCAUCUUUACAUUAUAGGUAAAUGUCUCAACAAAAUCUCUGACUAAGGCUCUCCAUUUAGGCCACUUUUUCAGUUCCUGUGAAGCAAACCAUUCUAACGCUUCUCCACUUAGGCUUCGACUGAAGAUCCUCAUCAAUAAUGCCUCGUUUCUACCAGCGCCUAUCAUUUGGUCACAAUAUCCUCUCAAGUGGGCCGUAGGAUUUCCAGUACCAUUUAAUGUCUCAAACUUAGGGACUUUAAAUCCUUCGAGUAGGUUCAAGUCAAGGUAAACGCAAAGGUCAUUAUAACUGAACCCUAUCGCAUUAGGCGAACCGUGUGUUUUCUUCAUCUUAGCGAUGUCUUCCUUUAUCAGUAGUAUCCCCUAGCAUAUUUGUCUUUAGGCACCCUACACUCUUUUUCCAUCUCCUCAUAAUGUUCAAUUUCUAGGCUUUGGGGGAAUGUAUAGUAAGAGGAAGGCAUUACAGUAGCAUAGAUAGUGGCGGGAGACAUAUUUUGGGUCAUCAGAGGAUUUUGAGUGGUGUGAGCAAAGUUUUGUUAUGUGGAAACUAGAUUUUGGGGAACAUUGGCAUUGGGACUGAAAGUGGGGCGGGUAUUUUAGGAAGUGAAGGCAUUUAUGGAGGUAUUUUGGUAAUUUGGUGUGAAGCUUUGAGGCUAGUAAGCAUUUGGAUUAUUUUCUCGGUUCUUGUGCUUUAAAUUAACACAAUCUUCAGUUGUGUGUCUAACACCUCCAGAAUGAUAUGCAUAAUGCUAAUAGGCAUGGAAAAAUUGAGAAUUAGUAUUGGCGGGUUUCGGUGGGAUAGGUUGGAUAAGGUCUGCCUUCUUUAGCCUUUCAAACAGUUGAGUUCUAGUUUCAGCCAAAGCAAUGAAACUUCUGGUGACUUUUUUUUGUUAUUUGGAUGAGGAAGAUUUUGGUAAGCAGGGGAAGGGACUUGAUGGUAAUUCUGAUUGACUGGGAUUUUUGGUACGCUUGAAAGUUUUGGAUUGGAGCUUGGUAAGUGGUCUGAUAAUUUGGCAAUAGAGUUGGGUAAUUCGGUUGAUUAGUUGAGAAAUUUGGCUUUGGAACUUGGGGGCUAGGUUGGGUAUAGAACACAGGUUGGAGAGUUUAUGGAGCUGAGGGGUAUAUAGACGGUGAUGGACUUUGCCCUGAAUUAGAACCGAAUAAAGGAUACGAAAGACACAUCUUCUCUCUUUUUCUUUGGGAAUCCUGAAGAUCCAAGUUGUGUAAAGGUCUUGUUGAUUUUUCCCGUCAUGAGUCGUUCAACCGUUUCACCAAUUUUAACCAAGUCAGCAAAAGUAGCACGAAUUGUCGAUAUUAUCUUGUCAUAAAACUCUCCCUAUCAAGCUCGAGUAAACACAACGACUAUUUCUUCUUCUAAUAUAGGAGGUCGUACUUUUGUUGCCUCUUUCCGCCA
Molecule: long non-coding RNA, 2198 nt
Filed under: Capsicum annuum
Lineage: Eukaryota; Viridiplantae; Streptophyta; Magnoliopsida; Solanales; Solanaceae
Description: long non-coding RNA (CANN_LNC017734)
Source: RNAcentral